This is a ribosomal RNA of 437 nucleotides. It matches the Rfam family "Bacterial small subunit ribosomal RNA", at positions 341 to 792 of the family's 1533-position model.
ACGGGAGGCAGCGGUGGGGAAUAUUGCACAAUGGGCGCAAGCCUGAUGCAGCAACGCCGCGUGAGGGAAGACGGUUUUCGGAUUGUAAACCUUUGUCUUUGGUGAAGAAGAAAGUGACGGUAACCAAGGAGGAAGCCACGGCUAACUACGUGCCAGCAGCCGCGGUAAUACGUAGGUGGCAAGCGUUGUCCGGAAUUACUGGGUGUAAAGGGAGCGCAGGCGGGACUGCAAGUUGGAUGUGAAAUACCGAGGCUCAACCUCGGAACUGCAUCCAAAACUGUAGUUCUUGAGUGAAGUAGAGGUAGGCGGAAUUCCGAGUGUAGCGGUGAAAUGCGUAGAUAUUAGGAGGAACACCAGUGGCGAAGGCGGCUUACUGGACGAUCACUGACGCUGAGGCUCGAAAGCGUGGGGAGCAAACAGGAUUAGAUACCCUGGUA